Molecule: ribosomal RNA, 115 nt
Filed under: Acanthosepion pharaonis
Lineage: Eukaryota; Metazoa; Mollusca; Cephalopoda; Sepiida; Sepiidae
Source: RNAcentral
UUACGGUCACAUCACGUUGAAACACCGGUUCUCGUACGGUCACCGAAGUUAAGCAACGUCGAGCCUGGUCAGUACCUAAAUGGGUGACCGCUUUGGCAAUACCAGGUGUUGUAAG